This 269-nucleotide ribosomal RNA is filed under the name uncultured prokaryote. RNAcentral describes it as "partial 16S ribosomal RNA". It matches the Rfam family "Bacterial small subunit ribosomal RNA", at positions 524 to 794 of the family's 1533-position model. The record is from RNAcentral.
UACGUAGGGGCGAGCGUUGUCCGGAAUUACUGGGCGUAAAGGGUGCGUAGGCGGCCUGAUAAGUCAGAUGUGAAAUACCAGGGCUCAACCCUGGGGUGCAUUUGAAACUGUUGGGCUUGAGUGCAGGAGAGGAAAGUGGAAUUCCUAGUGUAGCGGUGAAAUGCGUAGAGAUAUGGAGGAACACCAGUGGCGAAGGCGGCUUCCCGGUCUGUAACUGACACUGAGGCGCGAAAGCGUGGGGAGCGAACAGGAUUAGAUACCCUGGUAGU